CCAAAAAAUUCCAAUUUUUUACCCAAAAAAUUCCAAGUUUUUGGGGAUUUUUUGGGAUAUUUUGGGGGAUUUUUUGGGAUUUUUUUGGAAUUUUUUCAGAAUUUUUCCGGGAUUUCUUUGGAAUUUUUUGAGGAUUUUUUAGGGAUUUUUUGGGGAUUUUUUCAGGAAUUUUUGGGGAAUUUUUUCAGGUUUUUUUGGGAACUUUUUUGAGAAUUUUUUAGGGAUUUUUUGGGGAUUUUUUGGAGGAUUUUUUUUUUGAUUUUUGGGAUUUUUUUCUGGAUUUUUUCGUGAUUUUUUUGAGGAUUUUUUUGGGGAAUAUUUUAGAAAAUUUUUGGGGAAUUUUUUCAGGAUUUUUGGGGACUUUUUGUGGGAUUUUUUAGGAAUUUUUUGGUGAUUUUUUGGGUGAUUUUUAAGGGAUUUUUUGGGGAAUUUUUUGGGACUUUUUAGGAAUUUUGGGGGGAUUUUUUGUGAAAAAAAUCGGAUUUUUUGGUGGAUUUUUGGGGAAUUUUUGGGGAUGUUUUAGGAAAUUUUUUGGAAUUUUUUGGACGAUUUUUUGUGAAAAAAAUCCUAUUUCUUGGGGGAUUUUUGGGGGAUUUUUUGGGUUAUUUUUACAAAUUUUUUCAGAUUUUUCAGGAUUUUUUUUGGGAUUUUUUGGGAAUUUUUUGGGAUUUUUUGGAGAUUUUUUGGGGAUUUUUUUGAGAUUUUUUGGGGAACUUUUUGGGGAAUUUUUUGGGAAUUUAUUGGGAUUUUUUGGGGGGAAUUUUUGGGGGAAUUUUUCUAGAUUUUUUUUGAGAAUUUUUUGAGGAUUUUUUCAGGAAUUUUCUGGGGGAUUUUUUGGGAAUUUUUGGGAUUUCUUUCUGGAUUUUUUCGUGUUUUUGUAGGAAAUUUUUGGGGGAUUUUUUUCGGGAUUUUUUGGGGAAUUUUUGGGAAUUUUUUUAGGAAUUUUUUAGUGAUUUUUUAAGUAAUUUUUAAAUGACUUUUUUAGUGAUUUUUUUAGUCAUUUUUAAGGGAUUUUUUGGGGAUUUUUGGGCCAUUUUUUGUGAAAAAAAUCCGAUUUUUUGGGAAUUUUUGGGGCAAAUUUUGUCCGAUUUUUUUCAAAUUUUUUGUGUAUAAAAACUGAAUUUUUUACCACAUUUUCACCCACCUAAUAUCCUCAUCAGUGACCACAAAAGCCCUGCACAGGGGCUGGGCCGUGUUCAACCAAAUCCCCGGGAAAAUGGGAAAUUUCACAUUAAAAAAUCCAAAUUUUGGGGGAAAAAAUCAGGGAUUUUCUGAGAAUUUUUUGGGAUUUUUUGGGGAAUUUUUGCGAAUUUUUGGGGAAUUUUUUCAGAAUUUUUUGGG
RNAcentral lists this long non-coding RNA (1341 nucleotides) under Zonotrichia albicollis (white-throated sparrow). Its description in RNAcentral is "lncRNA (ENSZALG00000000555.1)". The record is from RNAcentral. Lineage: Eukaryota; Metazoa; Chordata; Aves; Passeriformes; Passerellidae.